AUACAGAGGGUGCGAGCGUUAAUCGGAAUUACUGGGCGUAAAGCGCGCGUAGGCGGCUUAUUAAGUCAGAUGUGAAAUCCCCGGGCUCAACCUGGGAACUGCAUCUGAUACUGGUAAGCUAGAGUUUUGGAGAGGGAAGUAGUAUUUCAGGUGUAGCGGUGAAAUGCAUAGAGAUCUGAAGGAAUACCAGUGGCGAAGGCGACUUCCUGGCCAAAAACUGACGCUGAGGUGCGAAAGCGUGGGUAGCAAACGGGAUUAGAAACCCUAGUAGUCC
This 274-nucleotide ribosomal RNA is filed under the name uncultured bacterium. RNAcentral's name for it is "partial 16S ribosomal RNA". It matches the Rfam family "Bacterial small subunit ribosomal RNA", at positions 523 to 796 of the family's 1533-position model. The record is from RNAcentral.